ACUUUCAGUCGUGAGGAAGGUAGUGUAGUUAUAGCUGCAUUAUUUGUACGUUAGCGACAGAAGAAGCACCGGCUAACUCCGUGCCAGCAGCCGCGGUAAUACGGAGGGUGCGAGCGUUAAUCGGAAUUACUGGGCGUAAAGCGCAUGCAGGUGGUUUGUUAAGUUCAGAUGUGAAAGGACCCGGGGCGUCAACCUACGGAAUAGCAUUUAGUAAACUAGGCAGACUAGAGUACUGUAGAGGGGGGUAGGAAUUUCAGGUGUAGCGGUGAAAUGCGUAGAGAUCUGAAGGAAUACCGGUGGCGAAGGCGGCCCCCUCGGACAGAUACUGACACUCAGAUGCGAAAGCGUGGGGAGCAAACAGGAUUAGAUACCCUGGUAG
This 379-nucleotide ribosomal RNA is filed under the name uncultured bacterium. RNAcentral's name for it is "bacterial SSU rRNA". It matches the Rfam family "Bacterial small subunit ribosomal RNA", at positions 432 to 793 of the family's 1533-position model. The record is from RNAcentral.